AUCGCUUUCUAGUUCACAAGCAUGAUUGGUUUUUCACAUCUAAUUUGUGUGAUGUCUCUCAAAUCUUAUUACAACAUCCAGCACAUUACCUAUCUUCGU
This 99-nucleotide small nucleolar RNA is filed under the name Sorex araneus (European shrew). Its description in RNAcentral is "Small nucleolar RNA U13 (ENSSARG00000020270.1)". Lineage: Eukaryota; Metazoa; Chordata; Mammalia; Eulipotyphla; Soricidae. The record is from RNAcentral.